GUGGGGAAUAUUGCGCAAUGGGCGGAAGCCUGACGCAGCGACGCCGCGUGAGGGAUGAAGGCCUUCGGGUUGUAAACCUCUUUCAGCUCCGAAGAAGCGAGAGUGACGGUAGGAGCAGAAGAAGCACCGGCUAACUACGUGCCAGCAGCCGCGGUAAUACGUAGGGUGCAAGCGUUGUCCGGAAUUAUUGGGCGUAAAGAGCUCGUAGGCGGCUCGUCGCGUCUGCUGUGAAAGCCCGGGGCUUAACCCCGGGUCUGCAGUGGGUACGGGCGGGCUAGAGUGCGGUAGGGGAGACUGGAAUUCCUGGUGUAGCGGUGAAAUGCGCAGAUAUCAGGAGGAACACCGGUGGCGAAGGCGGGUCUCUGGGCCGUAACUGACGCUGAGGAGCGAAAGCAUGGGUAGCGAACAGGAUUAGAAACCCGAGUAGUCC
RNAcentral lists this ribosomal RNA (430 nucleotides) under uncultured bacterium. RNAcentral's name for it is "bacterial SSU rRNA". It matches the Rfam family "Bacterial small subunit ribosomal RNA", at positions 354 to 796 of the family's 1533-position model. The record is from RNAcentral.